AGAGUUUGAUUAUGGCUCAGAACGAACGCUUGCUGCAUGCUUUAUACAUGCAAGUCGAACGAAGGCCCUAGCUUGCUAGGUGUCCUUAGUGGCGCACGGGUGAGUAACACGUGGGAACAUACCUCAUAGUACGGAAUAACUGCGGGAAACUGUAGCUAAUACCGUAUAUUCCAGUAAUGGGAAAGAUUUAUCGCUAUGAGAUUGGCCCGCGCAAGAUUAGUUUGUUGGUAAGGUAAUGGCUUACCAAGGCUACGAUCUUUAGCUGGUUUGAGAGGAUGAUCAGCCACACUGGGACUGAGACACGGCCCAGACUCCUACGGGAGGCAGCAGUAGGGAAUAUUGGACAAUGGGGGAAACCCUGAUCCAGCAAUGCAGCGUGAGUGACGAAGGCCUUAGGGUUGUAAAACUCUUUCAUCGGUGAGGAUAAUGACAGUAGCCGAAGAAGAAGGACCGGCUAAUUCCGUGCCAGCAGCCGCGGUAAUACGGAAGGUCCUAGCGUUGUUCGGAAUUACUGGGCGUAAAGCGCAUGUAGGCGGAACAGAAAGUUAGAAGUGAAAUCCCUGGGCUCAACCUAGGAAUUGCUUUUAAAACUUCUGUUCUGGAAUUCAGGAGAGGAAAAUGGAAUAUCCAGUGUAGAGGUGAAAUUCGUAGAUAUUGGAUGGAACACCAGUGGCGAAGGCGAUUUUCUGGACUGAUAUUGACGCUGAGAUGCGAAGGCAUGGGUAGCAAACGGGAUUAGAUACCCCGGUAGUCCAUGCAGUAAACGAUGGGUGCUAGUCGUCGGACUUAUGUUCGGUGUCGUAGCUAACGCGUUAAGCACCCCGCCUGGGGAGUACGGUCGCAAGAUUAAAACUCAAAUAAAUUGACGGGGACCCGCACAAGCAGUGGAGCAUGUGGUUUAAUUCGACGCAACGCGAAGAACCUUACCAGCGUUUGACAUGGGAAGUACCGGUUACAGAAUGGUAACCUUCAGUUCGGCUGGCUUCCACACAGGUGCUGCAUGGCUGUCGUCAGCUCGUGUCGUGAGAUGU
This 1031-nucleotide ribosomal RNA is filed under the name marine metagenome. Its description in RNAcentral is "bacterial SSU rRNA". It matches the Rfam family "Bacterial small subunit ribosomal RNA", at positions 8 to 1075 of the family's 1533-position model. The record is from RNAcentral.